This 253-nucleotide ribosomal RNA is filed under the name uncultured bacterium. RNAcentral's name for it is "partial 16S ribosomal RNA". It matches the Rfam family "Bacterial small subunit ribosomal RNA", at positions 524 to 776 of the family's 1533-position model. The record is from RNAcentral.
UACAGAGGGUGCGAGCGUUAAUCGGAUUUACUGGGCGUAAAGGGUGCGUAGGUGGUAAAGCAAGUAAGAUGUGAAAGCCCUGGGCUUAACCUGGGAAGUGCAUCUUAAACUGCUUAACUAGAGUAUGGUAGAGGGUAGUGGAAUUUCCGGUGUAGCGGUGAAAUGCGUAGAGAUCGGAAGGAACGCCAGUGGUGAAGACGACUACCUGGACCAAUACUGACACUGAGGCACGAAAGCGUGGGGAGCGAACAGG